GGAGGCGCGUCCUGCAGUCUCCAGUUGGUCGGGUUCCACGCUCACCUGUACUUGGUGCAAAGUGGAAGCGCAGCGGGUGCAACCGCGAGUUAGAAGAAGGACUGGCAGGGGGCUCCGGGCCCUCGGGGGUCGGAGGGAAGGGCGGGGCGGAGCUGGCCCCGGUCCGCGGAGGGUGGACGCGCGCUCUCCUCCAUCCCUCGGGAGGGAGUCUCCAAGCGGCUUUCCGCUGGUCCCGGAGAAGAGCGGCGAGAGCCAGGCUGGCCUCCUGUCCCGCAGGCCUCAGGGCGGGCGCGCUCUGCAGCCUUUCUUUGCCUGAAGAAGGUGCUUUGUGAGGGUGAAAGGUCUGGUAUCCCAACUCCUGGCCCUUUCUCAAGAGCAUCCGAAAAUGAACAAAUCCCAGCAGUCUCCAAAGUGAAGGGUAGGGAGCACCCCGAGAAUCCAAUGGGAUUCUAUUCACCUUGGAUUGAACAUAUUCUUUCGGAGAUCAGUUUCAUCCAAGGACCUGACUGUGGACUUCACCCGGGAGGAGUGGCAGCAACUGUGUCCUGCUCGGAGGCUCCUGGACAGGGCUGUGAUUCUGGAAAACUACAGACAGCUGGUCUCCGUGGGGUAUCAUGUUAGCAAACCAGAUGUGAUCUUCAAACUGGAGCAAGGAGAAGAGCCACGGAUAGUGGAGGAAUUCUCAGGUCAGAACUACCCAGAGGCGCCAACUAAGAGGACUUACUGGUACUCCACCCCCCAGGCCCCACAGUGGGAAUGCCACUGAAAAAGAAAGAGACCCCCCAAGAGACCCUUCUCCCCUUCCACCAUGUGAGGACACAGUGGGAAGGCCCCAGUUGUGAACCAGGAAGAGAACCCUCACCAGAAGAACCUUCAUCUUGGACUUCUCAGCCUCCAGAACUUGGAGAAAUAAAUUUCUGUGGCUUGUAAGCUACCCAGUCUGACAUUUUGUCACAGCGGCUCAAAUGGACUCUGAUAACUACUUCUCCACCUCCACCCUUCCAAAUUUCACCUAAGACCUCACUGGAAAUGUACAGGGAAGGGAACUCUGGGGAAUAUAGCUCAGCCAAGCCAACGUGACACAUUACAAGGUCAUCACAUUCCCCUGUUCUCUUCAAGGUAGGAACAGUGGACACUUCCCCCUGUUGCUAGCUAGCCCUGUGUGUCCCCCACCAUCCUUGUCAGUUUCCCCCAGCCCUGCCCACACUUGUAGAGAAUCUCUUCAUCCCAUUUUCUUUCAUGCCUUUUGAAUGCACUGCUUCCUAACAGGACUGAUUGCAUAUUUGGUGCCAGAAGUGGCCCCAGGAAACAGACUGUCAGAAUGGAAAUAAUAAGAUCCUGGAGUGGCAGAGGCCAGGUGUCAGGACCCAACCCUUGGAGACACAGUGGACAGUGAUCAUAACAUGCCUUAGGGCAGAGUGGUAAUCAGAGGAUUUUGGCCUGCUGGUGACAGCUAAUUGGUCAUGGAGACUCGAAUAUGGGCAGCCUUCUAAGGUAUAGCUUGACCUACAAGUGGAAAAUGUCUGGGUCUCCUGGACAGAAGCCUGAUGAGUGAUUAUAGUGGAGAUUCACUGUACCUUCUUCAGUUCCCAAACCUAAGUCCACUCCUAGGCCCAAAGUAGCUUCAGGGAGGACCUUUGAAUAAGGGCCUGCAAUGUACCCAUAGGAGACAGUGGGAGUCUUCCUCCAGGCCUUCCCAGAGGGAGAUGUGGUUAUUUACCAGCGUAACUAUGCCCUGGAGAAAGGGAAAUACUCGGACCUCCAAGGGUCAUUAGGUGUUGGCUCCAAUAUAAUGCUAUUUCUUUGAUUCCCAAACACCGCCAUGUCAGAGUAGGGACUUCUGUAAUGGUCACGAGACAGAUGGAGUUUGGGCCUGAGUCUACCUCGCAAAGGAUUUAUUUCCAUCAGUUGAACCACAAGCCCAUCCUGUGGUUAUUUCCUCAGAAUGUGUAAUAGAGACAGACUUAGCAGCCGGCAGAUUUCCUGUCUAUGAAGGUAUUACAUUGAUACUCUUGUAGCCCAUGAUAAUCUAGUUUGGUAAUUUUUAAAUUUAGACCCUCCCCACCCGAAUCCCCAAAUCGUCUGAGAGGUAGCAACUGAUUUCAUGUAAAUAUCCAACAUUGCUUGUAUGGUGUACAGAGAUUACAGUAUGCUGUGUACUUCAAUUUUGCAUUCUGCGCAAGUUGAAUGGUCUUCACAGAGAUAAUUUAAUCUUUAAUAAAGUUAAAACAUUCAUCUAA
Non-coding RNA from Leptonychotes weddellii (Weddell seal), 2240 nucleotides. The record is from RefSeq and is a predicted model, not a curated record. NCBI's taxonomy places the organism in Eukaryota, Metazoa, Chordata, Mammalia, Carnivora, Phocidae.